AUUCUUUUGUAGUUCACGAGAGUGAUGAUUGGGUGCUCAUGGGAUUGUGUGACAUGUACCUUUCUCAAACCUUAUUACAACCUUGGCACAUUAUCUGCCUGAUA
Molecule: non-coding RNA, 104 nt
Organism: Canis lupus familiaris (dog)
Lineage: Eukaryota; Metazoa; Chordata; Mammalia; Carnivora; Canidae
Source: Rfam